UUCUCUUAAUAUAUCAUCUCUAAUUUUCUUCCUGGUAAAAUGAACGAUUACGUCUCUUGGGACUUUGUUUCUUCUAGCGUAGUUGGUAGAUAUUCUAUAGGUCCUGUCUAUCUCUGGAUCCAUGUCUUCAUAUUCAGUUUGUGUCAGUUUGAAUGUUAAUUGUAUUAUUAAGUCCCUUAUGUUUUCUUUGCCUUCUUCUUUGAUCCUCUUUAAUCUAUCCCCGUUGUGUUACCUUCCUUAUCUGGUUUCCCUGCCUUUCCCUUUGCUGGUUUAUAUCCGUGGUCGCUCUGGUCUCUUUUCGUUUCUUUUCUUUCCCUAUUCUUUUCCCCAAUCUUCCUAGAUGUAUCUUAGCAGUCCUUUCGUCCUUUUUCUCAGUCUCCUUUACCUUUGGAUCAUGGUUCUCUUUGUUUCCUGUCUCUGUGUUCUCCUUUCUCCCUGUCAUCACGUCCUCCCUCCUUCUAUUGCCGGCUCUUUCUCCUGUCUUCCGCCUCUCUAUGGUCAGUGGGUAGUUGAAUUCCGUCCGUUCUGAGGGGAGGGACUCUUCCUCCACCCGGGCACACUUCCUCCUCACGCGCUGCUAUCUCCCAAUCUUUGUUUUUGGUAAGCUGGCCGCCGUAGACCAAACAAAUUUAUCUUCAAGGUCGCCAAACCUCUGACCAGCGUUUUGUUGAUUUACUCUGGUAAUGUCCUUUUAUUUAUGAAUUCUUAAAGUUCUUAUUUUAUUCUUAUUUAAUUCUUUAAUUUAAUUCUUUGGCUUUUUAGUUUGAAAUGAUGUACCUUUGAGGUACGGGGGGUAUGGGUAUAGAAGAGUUCGUUUCUUCCCGUCCUCUUCCCGUCCUCUUUCUCUUUUGAAAUAAUUUUAUAUCAAAAAGAAAGAUUUUAUUCUUCAAAUUCCCCUUCUUGUUUCUAAGGGUAGAGUCUUUUGGACAAUAUAAAGAAUGGAUAUUUUCUUUUCCGUACCUUCUUUCCAGAUCUUCUUUCUUGAAGUUAAAUCAGGCGAGUU
This 1003-nucleotide long non-coding RNA is filed under the name Anolis carolinensis (green anole). RNAcentral's name for it is "lncRNA (ENSACAG00000043125.1)". Lineage: Eukaryota; Metazoa; Chordata; Lepidosauria; Squamata; Anolidae. The record is from RNAcentral.